RNAcentral lists this ribosomal RNA (265 nucleotides) under uncultured bacterium. Its description in RNAcentral is "partial 16S ribosomal RNA". It matches the Rfam family "Bacterial small subunit ribosomal RNA", at positions 793 to 1055 of the family's 1533-position model. The record is from RNAcentral.
GUCCACGCUGUAAACGUUGGGCACUAGGUGUGGGAGGCAUUGACCCCUUCCGUGCCGCAGCUAACGCGAUAAGUGCCCCGCCUGGGGAGUACGGCCGCAAGGCUAAAACUCAAAGGAAUUGACGGGGGCCCGCACAAGCAGCGGAGCGUGUGGUUCAAUUCGAUGGUACGCGAAGAACCUUACCAGGGCUUGACAUGCUGGUAGUACCGAACCGAAAGGUGAGGGACCCUUCGGGGAGCCAGUGCAGGUGUUGCAUGGCUGUCGU